UAAGCGGAGGAAAAGAAACCAACAGGGAUUGCCUCAGUAACGGCGAGUGAAGCGGCAACAGCUCAAAUUUGAAAUCUGGCCCUUGGGUCCGAAUUGUAAUUUGCAGAGGAUGCUUUUGGCGAGGUGCCUUCCGAGUUCCCUGGAACGGGACGCCACAGAGGGUGAGAGCCCCGUCCGGAUGUGCCACCAAGCCUCUGUAAAGCUCCUUCGACGAGUCGAGUAGUUUGGGAAUGCUGCUCUAAAUGGGAGGUGUAUGUCUUCUAAAGCUAAAUACCGGCCAGAGACCGAUAGCGCACAAGUAGAGUGAUCGAAAGAUGAAAAGUACUCUGAAGAGAGAGUUAAAUAGCACGUGAAAUUGUUGAAGGGGAAGCGUUUAUGACCAGACUUGGGGCUGGCCGAUCAUCCAGGGUUCUCUCUGGUGCACUCGGCCAGUCUUAGGCCAGCAUCAGUUUGCGCCGGGGGAUAAAGGCUUCGGGAACGUAGCUCCUCUCGGGGAGUGUUAUAGACCGUUGCGUAAUACCCUGGUGCGGACUGAGGAACGCGCUUCGGCACGGAUGCUGGCGUAAUGGUCAUCAACGACCCGUCUUGA
This 589-nucleotide ribosomal RNA is filed under the name Chlamydocillium curvulum. RNAcentral's name for it is "eukaryotic LSU rRNA". It matches the Rfam family "Eukaryotic large subunit ribosomal RNA", at positions 47 to 657 of the family's 3401-position model. The record is from RNAcentral. Lineage: Eukaryota; Fungi; Ascomycota; Sordariomycetes; Hypocreales.